GCAAGUAGAACGCUGAAGGAAGGAGCUUGCUCUUUCCGGAUGAGUUGCGAACGGGUGAGUAACGCGUAGGUAACCUGCCUGGUAGCGGGGGAUAACUAUUGGAAACGAUAGCUAAUACCGCAUAACAGUAGAUAUCGCAUGAUAGCUGCUUAAAAGGUGCAAUUGCACCACUACCAGAUGGACCUGCGUUGUAUUAGCUAGUUGGUGAGGUAACGGCUCACCAAGGCAACGAUACAUAGCCGACCUGAGAGGGUGAUCGGCCACACUGGGACUGAGACACGGCCCAGACUCCUACGGGAGGCAGCAGUAGGGAAUCUUCGGCAAUGGACGGAAGUCUGACCGAGCAACGCCGCGUGAGUGAAGAAGGUUUUCGGAUCGUAAAGCUCUGUUGUAAGAGAAGAACGAGUGUGAGAGUGGAAAGUUCACACUGUGACGGUAUCUUACCAGAAAGGGACGGCUAACUACGUGCCAGCAGCCGCGGUAAUACGUAGGUCCCGAGCGCUGUCCGGAUUUAUUGGGCGUAAAGCGAGCGCAGGCGGUUAGAUAAGUCUGAAGUUAAAGGCUGUGGCUUAACCAUAGUACGCUUUGGAAACUGUUUAACUUGAGUGCAAGAGGGGAGAGUGGAAUUCCAUGUGUAGCGGUGAAAUGCGUAGAUAUAUGGAGGAACACCGGUGGCGAAAGCGGCUCUCUGGCUUGUAACUGACGCUGAGGCUCGAAAGCGUGGGGAGCAAACAGG
RNAcentral lists this ribosomal RNA (736 nucleotides) under uncultured Bacilli bacterium. RNAcentral's name for it is "bacterial SSU rRNA". It matches the Rfam family "Bacterial small subunit ribosomal RNA", at positions 57 to 776 of the family's 1533-position model. Lineage: Bacteria; Bacillati; Bacillota; Bacilli. The record is from RNAcentral.